GGGCGCUUAGACAUACCCAUGUCGAAGCGUUAGCCAAAACAUGGAUAUGAAAAAGCCCCGAAUGAACUAUAAAUUCAAACGAGGCCUUUACCAUGUAUAAGCAACUUGAUAAUAGCCUCUUACUUCAUAGGAGGCAAGUUAUG
RNAcentral lists this antisense RNA (143 nucleotides) under Vibrio vulnificus CMCP6. Its description in RNAcentral is "sok antitoxin (CssrC)". It matches the Rfam family "sok antitoxin (CssrC)". Rfam says of the family: Also identified in Shigella as CssrC. Lineage: Bacteria; Pseudomonadati; Pseudomonadota; Gammaproteobacteria; Vibrionales; Vibrionaceae. The record is from Rfam by way of RNAcentral.